Coregonus clupeaformis (lake whitefish) is the source of this 435-nucleotide long non-coding RNA. RefSeq lists it as uncharacterized. NCBI's taxonomy places the organism in Eukaryota, Metazoa, Chordata, Actinopteri, Salmoniformes, Salmonidae. The transcript has 3 exons. The record is from RefSeq and is a predicted model, not a curated record.
CGGAGGGAGGUCUGAAAGGCUGAGGAAGAAAGCAGAGCGCGGAGCGACUGCGUGCAUGAGAAGUAGCUACACACCUGUAACUGUAAGCCAUGGACGAAGACGCAGCAACUUGGAGUGGGAAUGUGAGGGCUCUGUCAUUAGUCGCAGUGUAUUUGCUGGCUUGCAAGACUGAGAAGACCCCCAAAACAUCAGAUGAGCUUGCCCUAAUGCAGGCAGGGAUAAGGAAAAGGUUAAAACACAGUCUGUGAUGAGUUCUCACGCUGAGAUAAGUGCAGCAUGGUUCAUUGUUCGCCACAACAAAUUGAAUUCAAUUCAGUUUUAUUGAGGAACCUAUCUUGUGAAAAACAUGCUUGAUUGCAAAUUCUUUGCUUUUAGAUAUCAAGCCUGUUAGAGAAGUACCCCAGAAUAGCCUCGAUCUCAGGCGGUUGGUUGUUC